This is a non-coding RNA of Oncorhynchus masou masou (cherry salmon), 2490 nucleotides long. Lineage: Eukaryota; Metazoa; Chordata; Actinopteri; Salmoniformes; Salmonidae. The record is from the annotation of a RefSeq genome assembly.
GGCAAGACAUCUUCAUCUCGUAAAGGUUGCUCAACGGACUCAAAGUGAUGAUGCCUUUCAAAUUGAGUGAAACUAAAAUGCCAGGCCCCCUGCUACUUCUGCUGUGCUGGAGCUAUGUCUUGAAAGCUACACACGCAUCAAUUAUAACCCAGACACCUGGAGUGGUGAUGGUGAAAGCUGGUGAUACAGUGACCUUGAAAUGCCAUUUGAGUGAGGUUAUCACCUACUGCUUCUCUGUGAGUUGGAUAAAAGUGGAUCCCAGGACUGGAACACACAGCAUGAGUACAACCUUAACGGUUGAUAACAUUUCAACGGACCAGGAACAGGACAACCUAUGUUCCGUUAUAAUCACCAAUGCAAAAGUUAGCGACUCUGGCAUGUACUACUGUUUGGCUGUUCACUCCAAAAUGGUGUACUCUGGCAAUGGUUCUAAGGUUAUUAUUUUGACAGAGAGAGAAAGGGUAGGGAACAGCACUAAAGCCCCAACCAUCCAAAUCGUCUCUUCGCCAGAGGUUGACCGCAUCUUCAUCCCUCUGCUGUGUUUGGUGUUGGAAGUGGUCCCGUCUCAGGUCCGUGUGUUCUGGCUCAUAGACGGGAGAGAAGAGAGUGGACUCACUGACUCCACCUGGACAGACAACAGUGAUUCAGCCACAGAGUUCACUAGGAACCAGAUUCUUGUCCAGGCACAGGAGUGGGACAGACGAGCAGAGUUUACAUGUGUGGUGGAGUUUGAGGGGAAAAAUAUCACCAAAACACUGCUGCAGCAAAAUGAUUCCAAUGCCAUGUGCACAAUGUUGAUGUAUGGGGCCUCUGCAGCUGCUCUCCUCACCAUAAUAGUUGCUGUCACUAUCGCUGUGUGUCUGCACCGUGGUAAGAUCAAAUCAAUGGAUAAUGGGCCAAUACUGUAUAACAAACACCAAAUGAUCGUGUGCAAGACAAUUUAUACCAUAGUACUCAGAAAAGGAUGUUAUGACCAUUGUAAUUUAGGGGAAACAUGCCCCAUCAAUUGGUACAUUUGCAGGAUAUACAUUUACAAGAUGUAGUCUUUUUAAUAACUUACUAGUACCCACUCAAAACACCAAGUGCACUUUGUGAUGCCUAUGGUUAUGGGUAGUCAUGUAGGUAAACCAGUUCAGAGGUCAGACCUAUAUGGGUCAAGUUAUUUUAUUUUGUUACACAAUAGAAUAGGUGGCUAAAUAUGGGAGAAAAUAUUUUAUUCCAUUAGGUCAUUUUCUGAGGAAAUUGAAUAAAAUCGGAUUUCGUAGGCCUGUAUUUUCUCUUGCACAGGAAUGUUGAGAAUUAAAAUCUGUUGAUAAUUCUUGACUUUGUUCCUCUUUUCCCUCUUUCACACAAGUCAGGCUCUCUGUAGUGGUUACAGUGACCUUUAUGGCAAGUGUCUGCUACGUUUAGACAGCAGUCUACUCCACCUGCUUUUGAGAUCAAAGAGUCAAUAUUAACAAAUGGCCAUGGACAACAAACAUUAUCACUGAAUCAUGAUGCUUUCUUCAACCUGGAUAUUAAAUGUGUUAUUUUGAUUGUUUUUUCCUAUAGGGCAUCCUGUGGUUGUUGAUGCUGAUACAAGGUUUGAGUCUGACAUUCAAUGCAAAUUUGGAUUAUAGAAAAGCCUGUGAUUGCUAGAGUGUGAAAUCCUCUGUUUUAAUUUCAGACAAAGAGGCACAGGCACUGAGAACAGACGGGAUCAAUCUGGGAGACGUGGAGAAGCAAGAAGACCAGUUAGAUCAUCGUUCUCGGAGGUCCAGUAUGCGACUUUGGACCAUAUCAAUUUUGGGAGACGCACAAAUACAGUUCUCCAAUCAGAUGUUGACAAAGAAAUUGCAUAAAAAUUCCUUGUAUUUUGUCAUGAUGUAGAUGCUUAUGAACUGCCACUGAAAACAUUUCAGAUUAUUAUUUGUGUAGCCGGUGUCCUCAAUUGCAAAGUACUUUCUUUUAUAUUGGAAUUCAACUGUGGACUAGUCUCCCAUUAGUCAUCAAGCUGUCCCAGUCCAGAAAGGCUUUCAGAGGUCAGGUUAGAUCCCUUCCGUCAGAAAAAGUGCACAGGUCUAAAUAGGAAAAUUACUGAAUAUUCUUGAAUUUUGUAUGGAUUGUGUAUUUAUUAUGGUGUAGGCUAGUUAGGGACUUAUCAUAGGCCCAUGUCACAGGAGGUUGAUGCCACCUUAAUUGGGGAGGAUGGGCUCGUGGUAUUGGCUGGAGUGGAAUAGUAUGAAAUACAUCAAACACAUGGAUUGAUGCCAAUCCAUUUGCUUUGUUCCAGACAUGAUUAUCAGCCAUUCUCCCCUCAGCAGCCUCCACUGGCCCAUGUAUUUCCAUGGAUUGUCUUGUGUUGCGUCCUGUUUUUGUCCAACACAGAAAACCACAUUGGAAAUAAGUGUUCUUAUACUAUUGUGUGUCAUCCUCUGGGAUUCUUUGUACUUUUAAAACUGUAAGAAUUGUAUUAUCCAAAAUCAAAUCAAUCAAUGAAUAUGGCUUGUA